UACACUCACUCAUGUAUGUAGGUUGAGUCCAAGCACAAUAGGCGAGAAGACGACGGUGACGCAGAGGAGGACGAGGACCCGCGCUCCAGCCCGACCACGACUAUGCACCGCACGGUCCCUACUUCCUGGCUAUCGCCAAUUGCCCCCUUCCCUUUACAGUACUACUCUAUUUAUUUUCAUUGCUUUUCACCCAGUUUUGCACACUUUCUGGCCCUUCCCUUUUUUGUGUGCAAAUGUUCUGAUCGCCUCCAUAUGGCUGUUUUCGUCCUCCUGCUCGUGCUGUCUCCAUCCUCCUGCUCAAGUCGUCGUCGUCGCCUCCCAUCCUUCAUGGCCUGCGUGUGUGCGCCCACUGUUGGAGGACGACGUUGAACAUGAAGCGGAGCCCAGCCGAAGCGGUCUGACGCGGUGGUCGUGGCCAAUGAGCAGUGGUCGAUGCCAUGGAGCAGGGGCCCUCGGUCGCCUGCACAUCGGCUGCGUUCUGAACUAAUGCUUUCUGCAACUGCAAUGUUCCCCUUCACAUUGUAUCUUGUGUAGGCAGAAGGAAUGCAGCUCAGUGACGGCGUCGGCUACAACUGGAUCGAUGGCCUGAAGGCUUUUACUAAGAAGAUGAAGAAUGUUGUAGAAUAGUGUCCAUCAACAAAGAGUCUUACUACUACCGGUUUGAGAGGCUCUAUCCUCAGGUGAUUGAUUACUUAAGAAGUAUACUGAAUUAUGAUAUCCAUCGAUCUAAUUUUGUAUAGGAAGUUUGAAAAACUAAAGAAUCUAUGGUACAUGAUUUGAUUUACUCAUUUAGAUUUUAGUAAAUUGUGACCGGAAGUUUUUU
This is a non-coding RNA of Triticum urartu, 823 nucleotides long. NCBI's taxonomy places the organism in Eukaryota, Viridiplantae, Streptophyta, Magnoliopsida, Poales, Poaceae. The record is from RefSeq and is a predicted model, not a curated record.